Oncorhynchus tshawytscha (Chinook salmon) is the source of this 658-nucleotide long non-coding RNA. RefSeq lists it as uncharacterized. NCBI's taxonomy places the organism in Eukaryota, Metazoa, Chordata, Actinopteri, Salmoniformes, Salmonidae. The record is from RefSeq and is a predicted model, not a curated record. The transcript is spliced from 2 exons.
AAGAGUCAAUAUUUGCAGUGUUGACCCUUCUUUUUCAAGACCUCUGCAAUCCACCCUGGCAUGCUGUCAAUUAACUUCUGGGCCACAUCCUGACUGAUGACAGUCCAUUCUUGCAUAAUCAAUGCUCUCUGUAUCUAUUUCCAUGGCACUCUCUCUCCUCCCUGGGCUGAGAAAUGUGGAUUAUUUCCUGUUCAGGAGAAGGAAUGCAUGCUUGGAUUGGUUCAGUGAAUCCUAUUGGAUGAUGUGCUCUGCUGUAUGUGAGCCCCGACCUUGUUCAUCCUCGGGAUGCAGAGCUAAUCAGGAAUGCCCUUGUUCAUCCUCGGGAUGCAGAGCUAAUCAGGAAUGCCCUUGUUCAUCCUCGGGAUGCAGAGCUAAUCAGGAAUGCCCUUGUUCAUCCUCGGGAUGCGGAGCUAAUCAGGAAUGUCACUUCUGGUAGGAGUAGUAGAUGGACAGUGAAGACUUGGAACUUUCUUUUGGUUUGAGUUUCACACCUUGUGUUUUUUGUGAUGUUAUUGUUGUAUAUGAUUUGUCUGAGUUAGAGUCCUGUGUUUGAACUGUUUUUCUUAUGAUAUUUAUGUUGUUGGUUUGAAGUGGGUCCAAUUUGUAUGAAAAUAAAGACUCAGAGGCUACCAAAGCAUUUCUGUACAAAAUAACAUCA